GGUCCCGUAGCUCAGUUGGAUAGAGCAGCCGCCUUCUAAGCGGCGGGUCGGGGGUUCGAGCCCUCCCGGGAUCGCCA
RNAcentral lists this transfer RNA (77 nucleotides) under Paracoccaceae bacterium. RNAcentral describes it as "Rhodobacteraceae bacterium (bioreactor metagenome) tRNA-Arg". It matches the Rfam family "tRNA". From Rfam's summary of the family: Transfer RNA (tRNA) molecules are approximately 80 nucleotides in length. Their secondary structure includes four short double-helical elements and three loops (D, anti-codon, and T loops). Further hydrogen bonds mediate the characteristic L-shaped molecular structure. tRNAs have two regions of fundamental functional importance: the anti-codon, which is responsible for specific mRNA codon recognition, and the 3' end, to which the tRNAs corresponding amino acid is attached (by aminoacyl-tRNA synthetases). tRNAs cope with the degeneracy of the genetic code in two manners: having more than one tRNA (with a specific anti-codon) for a particular amino acid; and 'wobble' base-pairing, i.e. permitting non-standard base-pairing at the 3rd anti-codon position. Lineage: Bacteria; Pseudomonadati; Pseudomonadota; Alphaproteobacteria; Rhodobacterales; Paracoccaceae. The record is from RNAcentral.